RNAcentral lists this ribosomal RNA (394 nucleotides) under uncultured bacterium. Its description in RNAcentral is "bacterial SSU rRNA". It matches the Rfam family "Bacterial small subunit ribosomal RNA", at positions 28 to 425 of the family's 1533-position model. The record is from RNAcentral.
GACGAACGCUGGCGGCGUGCUUAACACAUGCAAGUCGAGCGGUAAGGCCCUUUCGGGGGUACACGAGCGGCGAACGGGUGAGUAACACGUGGGUGACCUGCCCUCAGCUCUGGGAUAAGCCUGGGAAACCGGGUCUAAUACUGGAUAUGACUCCAUGACGCAUGUUGUGGGGUGGAAAGCCUUGUGCGGCUGAGGAUGGGCCCGCGGCCUAUCAGCUUGUUGGUGGGGUGANGGCCUACCAAGGCGACGACGGGUAGCCGGCCUGAGAGGGCGACCGGCCACACUGGGACUGAGACACGGCCCAGACUCCUACGGGAGGCAGCAGUGGGGAAUCUUGCGCAAUGGGCGAAAGCCUGACGCAGCGACGCCGCGUGAGGGAUGACGGCCUCGGUUG